This 253-nucleotide ribosomal RNA is filed under the name uncultured bacterium. Its description in RNAcentral is "partial 16S ribosomal RNA". It matches the Rfam family "Bacterial small subunit ribosomal RNA", at positions 524 to 776 of the family's 1533-position model. The record is from RNAcentral.
GACGAACCGUGCGAACGUUGUUCGGAUUCACUGGGCUUAAAGGGCGCGUAGGCGGACGACCAAGUCCGGGGUGAAAUCUUUCGGCUCAACCGGAAAAGUGCCUUGGAUACUGGUCGUCUCGAGGGAGGUAGGGGCAUGCGGAACUUCCGGUGGAGCGGUGAAAUGCGUAGAUAUCGGAAGGAACGCCGGUGGCGAAAGCGGCGUGCUGGACCUCUGCUGACGCUGAGGCGCGAAAGCCAGGGGAGCGAACGGG